This 468-nucleotide ribosomal RNA is filed under the name uncultured bacterium. RNAcentral's name for it is "partial 16S ribosomal RNA". It matches the Rfam family "Bacterial small subunit ribosomal RNA", at positions 28 to 507 of the family's 1533-position model. The record is from RNAcentral.
GAUGAACGCUGGCGGCGUGCUUAACACAUGCAAGUCGAACGGAAAGGCCGAAGCUUGCUUCGGUACUCGAGUGGCGAACGGGUGAGUAACACGUGGGUGAUCUGCCCUGUACUUCGGGAUAAGCUUGGGAAACUGGGUCUAAUACCGGAUAUGACGAUCCCUUGGAUGGGGUGGUGGAAAGCUUUUGCGGUUUGGGAUGUGCUUGCGGCGUAUCAGGAUGUUGGUGGGGUAAUGGCCUACCAAGGCGUCGACGGGUAGCCGGCCUGAGAGGGUGUACGGCCACAUUGGGACUGUGAUACGGGCCAGACUCCUACGGGAGGCAGCAGUGGGGAAUAUUGCACACUGGGCGCAAGCCUGAUGCAGCGACGCCGCGGGGGGGAUGACGGCCUUCGGGUUGUAAACUCCUUUCGCAAUCGACGAAGCGUUUUGGUGACGGUAGGUUGAGAAGAAGCACCGGCUAACUACGUG